This 251-nucleotide ribosomal RNA is filed under the name uncultured bacterium. RNAcentral's name for it is "partial 16S ribosomal RNA". It matches the Rfam family "Bacterial small subunit ribosomal RNA", at positions 335 to 578 of the family's 1533-position model. The record is from RNAcentral.
CUCCCUACGGGGCGCAGCAGUAGGGAAUCUUCCACAAUGGACGAAAGUCUGAUGGAGCAACGCCGCGUGAGUGAAGAAGGGUUUCGGCUCGUAAAGCUCUGUUGGUAGUGAAGAAAGAUAGAGGUAGUAACUGGCCUUUAUUUGACGGUAAUUACUUAGAAAGUCACGGCUAACUACGUGCCAGCAGCCGCGGUAAUACGUAGGUGGCGAGCGUUGUCCGGAUUUAUUGGGCGUAAAGCGAGUGCAGGCGG